RNAcentral lists this ribosomal RNA (440 nucleotides) under uncultured bacterium. RNAcentral's name for it is "partial 16S ribosomal RNA". It matches the Rfam family "Bacterial small subunit ribosomal RNA", at positions 338 to 795 of the family's 1533-position model. The record is from RNAcentral.
CCUACGGGCGGCAGCAGUGGGGGAUAUUGCACAAUGGGGGAAACCCUGAUGCAGCGACGCCGCGUGUGGGAAGACGGUCCUCUGGAUUGUAAACCACUGUCCCCAGGGGCGAAGAUGACGGUACCUGGGGAGGAAGCUCCGGCUAACUACGUACCAGCAGCCGCGGUAAUACGUAGGGAGCAAGCGUUGUCCGGAAUUACUGGGUGUAAAGGGAGCGUAGUCGGGAUGGCAAGUUGGGUGUUAAAUCUACCGGCUCAACUGGUAGUCGCACUCAAAACUGGUAUUCUUGAGUGAAGUAGAGGCAGGCGGAAUUCCUAGUGGAGCGGUGAAAUGCGUAGAUAUUAGGAGGAACACCAGUGGCGAAGGCGGCCUGCUGGGCUUUGACUGACGCUGAGGCUCGAAAGUGUGGGGAGCAAACAGGAUUAGAUACCCGAGUAGUC